This 758-nucleotide ribosomal RNA is filed under the name Algoriphagus terrigena. RNAcentral's name for it is "bacterial SSU rRNA". It matches the Rfam family "Bacterial small subunit ribosomal RNA", at positions 1 to 761 of the family's 1533-position model. The record is from RNAcentral. Lineage: Bacteria; Pseudomonadati; Bacteroidota; Cytophagia; Cytophagales; Cyclobacteriaceae.
UAGAGUUUGAUCAUGGCUCAGGAUGAACGCUAGCGGCAGGCCUAAUACAUGCAAGUCGAGCGGCAAGUCGAGGAGUAAUCUGAGACCUAGAGCGGCGUACGGGUGCGUAACGCGUAUGCAACCUACCUCAUACAGGGGGAUAGCCCGGAGAAAUCUGGAUUAAUACCCCAUGGCACAGCACAAGGGCAUCUGCGAGCUGUUAAAGAUUCAUCGGUAUGAGAUGGGCAUGCGUCUGAUUAGCUAGUUGGCGGUGUAACGGACCACCAAGGCGACGAUCAGUAGGGGUUCUGAGAGGAAGGUCCCCCACACUGGCACUGAGAUACGGGCCAGACUCCUACGGGAGGCAGCAGUAGGGAAUAUUGGGCAAUGGACGAGAGUCUGACCCAGCCAUGCCGCGUGCAGGAAGACGGCGUUCUGCGUUGUAAACUGCUUUUAUCUGGGAAGAAAAAGUCCAUGCGUGGAAAAUUGCCGGUACCAGAUGAAUAAGCACCGGCUAACUCCGUGCCAGCAGCCGCGGUAAUACGGAGGGUGCAAGCGUUGUCCGGAUUUAUUGGGUUUAAAGGGUGCGUAGGCGGCUAUUUAAGUCAGCGGUGAAAGACAUCGGCUCAACCGAUGCAGUGCCAUUGAUACUGGAUAGCUUGAGUGUUGGAGGGGUACAUGGAAUUGAUGGUGUAGCGGUGAAAUGCAUAGAUACCAUCAGGAACACCGAUAGCGAAGGCAUUGUACUGGCCAACAACUGACGCUGAGGCACGAAAGCA